CCCCAAACCCACUUCCCUCCCACCCAGGCAACAAGAAAGGGCAAACUGAAAAUUUAAAAGUGGCAUUCAGACAACAUGUAUAUGGAAAACGUGGUCUGAUGCCUUAUACAUGCAUGCAUCAACUAAUGGCUUGUCUGGCCAUGUGUCCAUUUAGAUCAAAUUAGAACACUUGAAGAAAAGAAAAAAAAGCCUUAGACCAACCCUGACUCUCUCUUUUCACAACUCCACAGCUACCCGGCCUCCGACUCACUCCACAUCUACUCCCACUUUGAAGCCCUAAACUCUAAAUCCACCACCUCCGAAGCCCCGACUUUCUGGUACCAAUCCCUGCCUCCGAAGCCCUAAAUCUGAGAUUCGUCUUCGAAUCUGGUUAGUUCUCGUCCUCUCAAAUCUGGUUUUGAUUAACUGAAGGUUUUUGGGUUCUUCACUUUUGAUUUGGGAUUCUUCACAAAUCAUAUUAUCCAAGGCGACCUCGAUCUCUUUAUAUGAGCAGAAGAACCCGAAGCUCAAGCUCCUUCGACCUGAUGAACUGUUUAAGAGAUCGAGUCGGUGCCUAGCACAGAUGAUGAAGAACCCCAUCGCAGCUGUCCAGCUCCAAAGCUGAUUCUCUCCUAAAAGGUUCUUGUGGGAGAGAAUUGGAUUGUAUGUUUAAGUGUGCCCAAGAAGAUGGGUUUGGCUUCAGUUUGAUGCAAGGCCCGGAAAUUCUUGAUUUGGGUGGAGUUUGAUGCAAGUCCCGGAAUUUUUUAAGGGUCUGCUAUUCAUUUACAUCAGUUGCUUAGAGGUAUUCGGAAGCUUUGGAAGGAGUAGGACAGGGUCUGCUAUUGAUUGUGUUUUGGUAGAGAAUUUGAUUCUAUCCCUUUCCCCGAAAGGGCCAUGUCAUUGGCAUUUGAUAUCCUCAAUGACCUUGUGAAGGUGCAUUAACUGGAGCUAUAACCACUCCCCUUGAUGUGAUUAAUUAAAACCAGACUAAUGGUACAGGGAUCUGCCAACCAGUACAAAGGAAUUGGUGACUGUGUUCAGACUAUUGUGAGGGAAGAAGGACCUCCCGCUCUUCUGAAGGUGUCGGAUGCAACUGCAGCUGAUCCUAAAUUGCUGGUCUUUUUGAAAUCGUACAGGAAUUUCUUACACACUGAAUCUAGUAAUUAGAUCUACCUAGCUUUUCUAAUUCUACUUUGGUUUAGAAUAAUCAAUGGUUCAUGAAUUAUGAGAUUCUGAGUGCAUAACAUGUUCACGAAAUCAUCAAAAUGUAGUGUAUAGAAUUAAAAAUGCAGAAUAAUAUGGGAAUAUAGGAAUGCUAAAUUAACACUUUCUCUAAGCCGUGGUCGUCCUCUACUACUAACUUUCUUCCAGUUUUAUUUAACAAAAGAACAUAAACCUGCUCACCUGCAUUUCUAGGUAUUCUGUGAACAAAUUGAAAAGCUAGGAAUUUCUUACUAGUAAUAGGUGUUUGGCAAAAGUCACCCUUGAUUGAUUUAUCUUCAUAUGUAUCUGCUAGUGUUGAUUGGGGGAUAUAGGCAUAACUAAGGCCAUAUUUGGGGAUAUACUUAGCAUAUUGUACACAUUUUAUUCAUUUUAAAGGUACCAAUGUAUCUGCUUUGAACUUUCAGAGACCAUCCCAUAAUGCUUAGUGCUCUGGACUUCAUCUAUAAUUUUUAUAUAGUAGACUGCUGAUUUGAGUAAAGAACUGUACCAUUACUGGUAUCUCAUUGAGACUUGAUUGAUUUUGCAGGGUAAACAUGGUAUCGAGAAACAACCGUUUCAGCUUCCUGAUUUCAUUGCUGCAACUGGUACUAAGAAAAUUAGACAGAAAUGUUCCUUCAUAGGAUAGUUCCUAAGGUUAGUAUGUUUACUGUAAUAUCUCAUACAGCCUUAGCAGCAUAUGAUGUUUCCAUCUUUUAUUUUUAGGGGGAAUCUGCAUUAUGGAGACUUGCCUGGCACACAUCAAAUCAUCAAUGAGGAUCACUAUGGGGCACUCAUCCACCACCUCUUUUUAGUUCGCAACAAACGCUGAAGUUGAUGAACUGCGUAAUGAACUCGCAAAUUAUGAGGUGAAGAACCUACUAAAGUUGGGAAGUGUGCUGGGAUGAAUCAUUGUUGGUCUUUUUUGGGUAUAUGCAAGGUCUGAAGUGCAUUAGGCAAGAUGUUGGUCCUUUUUGGGUUGGCCUGAAUUGCAUUUCUUCUAUAGAUGUGAUCAUGUACGGAUGAGACUAUUUUAGCCACAUUUGUAGAUGUGAUCUUUUCUAUUUUUUUUGAUACAAUUAGCAUUAUCGGAUCCAUUUAUGGGAUUAUAACAGCUAUUUAUUAUAAGAAAUUUUUUAUUCAUUUGGUCAA
RNA transcript from Rosa rugosa (rugosa rose), 2331 nucleotides. RefSeq lists it as uncharacterized. Lineage: Eukaryota; Viridiplantae; Streptophyta; Magnoliopsida; Rosales; Rosaceae. The transcript has 9 exons. The record is from RefSeq and is a predicted model, not a curated record.